GCACAGAGUUAGCCGGUGCUUGCUAAAGGGGUACCGUCAUCACGCCGGGUAUUCGCCGGCGUCUAUUCGUCCCCCUCCACAGAGCUUUACAACCCGAGGGCCUUCAUCACUCACGCGGCGUCGCUGCGUCAGGCUUUCGCCCAUUGCGCAAGAUUCCCCACUGCUGCCUCCCGUAGGAGUCUGGACCGUGUCUCAGUUCCAGUGUGGCUGAUCAUCCUCUCAGACCAGCUACCCGUCUUCGCCUUGGUAGGCCAUUACCCUACCAACUAGCUGAUGGGCCGCAGGCUCAUCCCCUGGCGCCAGCUUUCAAUGAAGAGGCCGGCUUUGACCUCAUCCCCUCGCGGGGUCGUGGUCUUAUGCUGUAUUAGCCCUCCUUUCGGAAGGUUAUCCACCACCUGGAGGCAGAUUACCUACGUGUUACUCACCCGUGCGCCGCUUUACCGGGGUUUCCCCUUUCUCGCACGACUUGCAUGUGUUAAGCGCGCCGCUAACGUUCGUU
Molecule: ribosomal RNA, 499 nt
Filed under: uncultured bacterium
Lineage: Bacteria
Description: partial 16S rRNA
Source: RNAcentral